GGAGAGUUGUCCGAGUUGGCCGAAGGAGCAUGAUUGGAAAUCAUGUAAACAUUAACGUGUUUCAAGGGUUCGAAUCCCUUACUCUCCGCCA
RNAcentral lists this transfer RNA (91 nucleotides) under Finegoldia magna. Its description in RNAcentral is "tRNA-Ser". It matches the Rfam family "tRNA". Rfam says of the family: Transfer RNA (tRNA) molecules are approximately 80 nucleotides in length. Their secondary structure includes four short double-helical elements and three loops (D, anti-codon, and T loops). The record is from RNAcentral. Lineage: Bacteria; Bacillati; Bacillota; Tissierellia; Tissierellales; Peptoniphilaceae. RNAcentral also lists the same sequence under 8 other names.